This 500-nucleotide ribosomal RNA is filed under the name uncultured bacterium. RNAcentral describes it as "partial 16S ribosomal RNA". It matches the Rfam family "Bacterial small subunit ribosomal RNA", at positions 29 to 523 of the family's 1533-position model. The record is from RNAcentral.
AUUGAACGCUGGCGGCAUGCCUUACACAUGCAAGUCGAACGGCAGCACGGGCUUCGGCCUGGUGGCGAGUGGCGAACGGGUGAGUAAUACAUCGGAACGUGCCCUGUUGUGGGGGGUAACCAGUCGAAAGAUUGGCUAAUACCGCAUACGACCUGAGGGUGAAAGCGGGGGACCGCAAGGCCUCGCGCAGCAGGAGCGGCCGAUGUCUGAUUAGCUAGUUGGUGGGGUAAAGGCCCACCAAGGCGACGAUCAGUAGCUGGGCUGAGAGGACGAUCAGCCGCACGGGGACUGAGACACGGCCCAGCCUCCUACGGGAGGCAGCAGUGGGGAAUUUUGGACAAUGGGGGCAACCGUGAUCCAGCAAUGCCGCGUGUGUGAAGAAGGCCUUCGGGUUGUAAAGCACUUUUGUCCGGAAAGAAAACCUCUGCCCUAAUACGGCGGGGGGAUGACGGUACCGGAAGAAUAAGCACCGGCUAACUACGUGCCAGCAGCCGCCGUAA